GGGGGUCGGAGGUGAGCCAGGGACGAGGUACUUUAAUCAGGGCAGAAUAAUCCAGAGACAUUUCCUUCUUCCAGUGGAGAGAAACUGUCUUUUUCAUCUGAUAUCAUGGGUGAGAGAAGGGCAUAUUAUGAAUCACCUAAUGCUUCAAAGAAAAAAAAUGUUUUAAAUUCCCAAGUUAACAAGAAAGAGCCUUCACCCACCCACCUUGGGAAACCUGAAGAUUAAGACUAUUUGGUGCAGAGUAGCAGAUGUACCUUCCCUCUGGUGUGCCGGGUGACUCUUCUGUUUCACGGUCCCAGUUGUCUGUGGGCAAACACACAAAUUAAAAAGAGGAGGAGGGGGCUGUGUGCCCUGCUUGGGCAGGCUCUGCACAGCUCUGGGUAGCUGUGGAGGAUGCAGUGUGCAUCACUCCGUGAAAAAGAUCCUGUAGCAUCAGCUCCCUCCCUGCUCCAGACAGAUGAUAACUGGCAGCCACCUCAGAGAGAGGUAUAUGAGUACCCCACUGCAGCCUGUGCCCUGCCUGGUGCUCCUGUACUGAUGCCUGCACUGCUGACACUGGGAACACCUGCUCUCAGAUGAGUUGAUUUAUCUGCAAUUUAUCAAGAGGAAAACAAGGCAUAAGAAAAUUCUGCAGAGCAGUGGUGCCCUGUGUCUCCUCCUGGCUGGAAGUGCCCUGCCUGGCUGCUCCAUCACAUGCUU
RNA transcript from Lonchura striata (white-rumped munia), 699 nucleotides. RefSeq lists it as uncharacterized. NCBI's taxonomy places the organism in Eukaryota, Metazoa, Chordata, Aves, Passeriformes, Estrildidae. The record is from RefSeq and is a predicted model, not a curated record.